RNAcentral lists this long non-coding RNA (15748 nucleotides) under Medicago truncatula (barrel medic). RNAcentral's name for it is "long non-coding RNA (MTRU_LNC005530)". Lineage: Eukaryota; Viridiplantae; Streptophyta; Magnoliopsida; Fabales; Fabaceae. The record is from RNAcentral.
CCUUGACACUCAAAAUCCGCCCCUCCUUCAUGUGUUCACUGAAAUGUUCCCUCAAAACCUCGUCUGUUGUCUUGAAGUUUAGGUUCUUGACAAACAAGGACCGAGCCUGAAGUAUGAUAGCUUAAUCAAAUGAUAGAAGAGUAAUAAUUAUGGAUUAUUUAGCAAUGGUUAAUGUACAAAAUAUCAAAAUAAAUAUUGACUGAAUUGCAUAGUAAUCUGUGGAGGACAAAAUUAGAGUGGUGGCAAACAAUUUCCCUAAAGGCAAGGCCAGAGAAUGAAUAUGUCCAUGGGAUAAACGUCCUUCAAAUUGACAAUCAAUACAGAAAAUGAUAUUUCACUUCAAAGUUCUGUUCUUAUUGACAUAUAAAUUAUUGAAUGAAUAACAAAGAGAUGAAGGCCAUAACAAUAAAUUAUUGAGAAGUUCAGAGACCCGAUUUAUAACAUUUUUAGUUGAGGAAUCUAUAUUAAAAUUUGGAGUUCAGCGAUCAAUAGAAUAAUUCAACCUAAUAAGUAAAAUGAAUUUAUCAUUUUUUUAUUGUCAGUUUUAUUGCAUAUACAACUUGUCCUAUGCAUUUAUAUUUUAUUUUUAUCCAUUGACCUCACAUUUCUCUCUUUUCUAUUUUACAUCAAUUCUUGCAAAAGACUAAUGCAUCAAAACAAACUAAACCAAACACAACUAGAGCAAAAGAAUGGUAAAAAUAGGCCAAACCUCUAUUCUGUCUGGAUCAAUAUCAGCAUCUGAUAUUCUUUCCACGUCUUUCUCUAAUAUCCCCCUCUUGACAUCCUUUUCACCAAUUACAAUAUUCACCUCAUCAUUUAUAGAUGUUAAUUUUGGGGUAAGAAUAUCGGAAGGAGCCCACUCCAAGUAUAACGGAGCAUCCCUACAUUGAAUAGAGCACAAAUCAAGUCAAUAACCAUCAAUAAAUAAAAUAUGGGAUCCCUAUUGUUAGCUUAGUGGAGGGGGAUGAAAUUGUGGUUGUGCAACAUCUCAAAGUGUCAAUCCUUCCCAACUAACAAAAUCCAAGCUUUAGUCCAAUCACUGCGGAAAUAAGAUUAAAACUACGAAGUUAUGGGCAUAGUUCUGGAUUAUUGUACACUCUAACGCCACCCCCCACACACUUCCCUUUUGGGUGUAAGACACAUAUUUUUGACAAAACUAUUCUUUCAAUUUUAUCCUUUAUCUUUUUCAAAUAACACAGGAGAGCCAGAGCACAUUAACUUUUGCACAAUACAAACCAGCAUCAUACAUAUUGCAAUUUGCAAGGAAAAUGUUCUCUCUUUCUUUCCUAUGAAGAUCGACUCGUAUUCAACAGAGGAAGAAACAAUAAAUUCAUUCAGUGAAGAUAACAUAAAUGACUGAUUGUCUAUUCAUAGAAGCUAAUAAAAUAUUGCUUAUCACUUAACAAUGUUGCAUGGAACUAGUGACCAAAAGAAACAAAAGAUCUUACUUGUAACGCUUGUAAGCUAAACCUCUAAAAGCAGCUUUAGCUUCUGCUGGUUCGAGAAAAAUAACCUGAAAUAUCAUCUCUAAAUAAUUCAAAGCUUGAACAAGAAGAAUUUAGUGUUUACCUAUUCAUUAAACAAUGAACAAAUAACAAUAAAAGCAAUAACUUUCAAGAUGCCUCCCUGCUGAAGACAAGCUCCACCAAUCAAUUAAAACAAAUAUGCAACAAAAUGCCUAUAAGUAUAAUAAAGUUCCCAUAAUACAUAUAUUAGAAAGAGUUAGGAUCCAUUGAAACCAAGUGUAGAUCAAAAGGCUUAUACCAAAUAUCAUCCAUUCAAUUUGAUUGAUCCAAUGAAUCAUAUAUUCCAUCUAUGCAAAAUAAAAAAUAAAAUAAAACUCUUAAGUGAAGCAUGCGUGCAAUUUCAUUUUUUUUUUCUCCCCGACACAAUAUACUGAUUGAACUAAUGCACAAUGUUCAGCGCUGCUCAGAGUUGCAGAAGCCAACGUUGGGGUCAUACCACUUCUCCCGUAAUGAUCAGGCUUUAGAUUUUGAUUUUUGAUAGCAUAUAGUAUUAGAGUUCAUUCCUAUCAGUUUGUGGUUUGUUGAACCUUCAAUCAUCAAUAUGAAAAUAGACAAUUUGGGUGCAAAUUUGUGGCCAUAUAAAUAUAUCUCAAUCAUGUCAAUUUCAGUAAUCCUCCAAUGCUAAGUGCUCUUGUUUUAGAAUUUGGGAUUAAUUUUUUCAUGACGCAUCAUAAUAAUAUAUAUAAACUUCGUACAAAUCUGUAAGUCUAGAUAUUAGUGAGACACACUGAUGAAUUAGGUUUCUAUGAUAUUUAUAAUGGGAAUGAAGACAAAAUCACACGCACGCCUCAAUUAGUUUUUUUAUUUAUUUCACAGAUGGAAUAUUACGAGCCAUUUGAUACAUUAUAUUUAACAGUCGAGAUUUGGAGUACAUUACACCUAGUCUUAUGACUUACACCUAGUGUCAACGGAUCCUAACUCUACAAAGAAAUCCAAUAAUACAGCUCAUGGUGCAGAGGAGAACAUGUAGAACCAAAAGGACCAUAAUAUUUAUUAUUAUGAAAAAAACAAAUAUAAAUAAUACAAUAACGGUGUGGUAAUAUAGUUUUUAAAAUGUAAAAGAAUAAGCUUCAUGCAAAAGAUUGUAAUUUGUUUUUUCUUUAGGAUAUUAGGACACAAGACUGUUCCACAACCACAUAUUAUGGAAGAAGAAAUACUAUCGAAAGUUGAAAGAAUAAACUUCAUGCAAAAGAUUGUUAUUUGUUUUUUCUUUAGGAUAUUAGGACACAAGACUGUUCCACAACCACAUAUUAUGGAAGAAGAAAUACGUUGAAAGUUGAAUUAAGACAUAAUUGAAACAAAACUUUAGUAGAAAUUAUAACAAAACUAGGCUAUAUGAUAGAAUAAUAAGAUAUCAAAAGUACCCACGGCCACCCCCCAAAAUAAAAAAUACAUAAGACACAUCAUGAACAUAAGGAGAGGGAAAUACCAGGGCCAAUGUUUUUGUCGAGGGCAGAAUUAUUUUAUCCAAACUACCAAAUUUCCCAAACAUCUUUGCAAGAUCAUUUUCCGUAGCACCAUAUGGCAAAUUUUUCGCUAAAAGUACAUGGUUACUUCUUUUCCUGCCAUCAACUUUACCCUUCGCAUGCUCCUCCAGAGACUCCACGUUCACUCCAGCUUUUCUAAAUGCAUUUUUUGUUUCUUUAAUCCCGUCAGUUUCUGCCAGAGAAUACCGUGAAGCAAGACCAUCAGCUUCUGGAUCCAGAAAAUCACUUUUACUAACACCAUGUUUCCGAGCAGCGUUUUCUACAAUCUAUUAACAUCAACACAUGAUUAAAAUAUUUUAGGAAGUAUAAUCAAUAAGACAAUGAUGUUAAUUCCAUCACUAAAAAACAACAUAUUUGCACCCACCAAUAAAAGGAAAUAUUAUAAUCCCAAGGAAAAAUGAAAUUAUGACUGCAUUAGAAAAUGGAAACAUCAACAGUUUUACCUAUUUUCUCAAUAAAAGAAAGUUGUCAACAGUUUCUCACACCACACACUACAUAAGCCCAAUAUAAAAAAUUAUACUUUUUUAUAUAUGUAUGGAAGCAAAACUUACUAACCCUGGAUAUUUUUUAUAGCAAAGGAAAAAUAUUUGAAAAGCAAGAGGAGAUAAACAAAUAGAAGAAAAAUAGAUCUUUCAAAAAAAAAAAAAAAAGAAGAAAAACAGGUAAUCUUCCAAAAUAAAGUACAACAGUUGGCAAAGUGUGUGCUUGAUCAACCUAGCAGGACUGGACAAACAGAAUAACACAGUACAAGUUAUCAAAUUACAACACAACCUUUUGUUCUAUUUUCUGUUAGGUGAUCAAUGCACAACGCAAGUUGUUUUGAGGAACAUGAGGGGAUGAAACAAUGGAGAAGGUACAUUAGAGAGAGGAGGAACUUCGGGGAAAAUAGCUAUUGAGGAUGAAAUGAAAAGGUUGGGUACUUUAAUACUUUUCGACUUUGUUGUGAGUGGGACAAAAAGCUAUCCCAUGGAUUUAUUACUAAAUAAGAAAAUUUAAGAAGUGUCAUAUCCUUCAAGUUUCGCUUUGUUUAGUUAGACAACCAUUCUUCAAAUCAAACAUAGAAGUAGUUUUGUGCCGUCCAGUCUUUCAUUUUUUUGCAAAUUAAAUGCGCCUAAAAGUUCUUAAGAUUAAAACAGCUGACACACCCAAUCUCUAUGAAUGUUAGAAAUAGCAACCUCAAUGAAAUAUCCAUUGUGAGACUAUAACAGUUCAAUCCUACAGGUUUUGGGGGCAAAACAUAAACUGAGCAUCCCUCUUCAACAAGUGAUGCUCCCACCAUCACCCCCCCCACACUCACACACACCAAAACCUAACCAAAGCACAAGGAAACCCUCCCCAAAAAUAGAAUAGACUUGUUUCAUGAGGAAAUGGUUGCUAACAGUGCAGGAACAAGUGCUUUGCUUCUGAACUAGAGCAACAAAUACAUAAAGAACAACGUCAAAAUUUGAAAUCAUGCCACAAGUUGUGACUUUCUAUAGAAAAUAUGAAGAUAAAAUAAGCAUUAUUCAAAACAUGAAUGAACUAUUGAAAAAUUGGCAACUCAAAAAGGAUGAAAUAAUAGAAUCAUAAAUUUCAAUUUCAUCGUAAGGAAACAUACUGUAUCAGGGCGCAUGAACAGACUAUUCCAUGCUCUGGUAUCUCCUUUAGCUUCAGCUGCUUUCCUUUCUUCUUCUCUUCGUUGUUUGAGAGUUUUAGAGCCUUGGUUCUUGUUCCUACAACAUGUAAACCAUAAAAUGACAAUACAUGAUAAUGCAAAUAUACAAUUUAACAUUGUUGAUGAAGCAAUAUUAUGCCUUACUCUUCAUUGUUUGAAUGUCUUGGUAUAGCUGGCAUAACAUGCAAUAAUCUCCCCUGGAAGAUUGAAUUGUCCGACUCUUCUAGCGCCCUGAUAAACAUUUAUCAUACAAUUGCAUAAAUUACAAUCAACUGUUGACAAGCACCAGCUUAAGCUUUGAGAUAGUAUUAGUGUUGCUAAACGUAGCAGCUAUCUGAAGUCUAGUGAUGUUUUAGCUACAGAUACAAUUCAAUUGACGUGGAAUUAUGCAAUUCCAACCUACUUCGAUUCAUUGCAGAAAACAUUACCAAUAAAUUUCAAGAGGUUCUUAGAUGUUUUAGAACUUUUUGAUAACUCAAACCAAUAGUAAUCCUAUCAUUUUCCAGGAUCCGGCUCCUCUAAAAUGGGCAACUCACUUUACAGGACAAGGCCCAAGUGGAAAAUCCAAAUUUUGAUCAUUUAAAUACAAAAUAUACUAUUUUAGCUAGUUACAAGUAUUAUUUAAAAGAAACAAGAACAAAAACAAGACACUCUUGGAAUUCCCUCCUUAACAACAGAAGAGACAACAAGCAAAAUCCAACCCAUCACAUGUCUACCAAUACACCAAGGUAGUCAAAAUCGAGAUCCUAGGCAAGAUCGGAGAGAGGUCACAAGAUCGUAAAUCGGGAGAUCGUAACACGGAUCGCAAGAUCCUACCAAAUUCACAAAUCGACAUACCUAUGUGUAUGCAUAAAAAACCCUUCAGAAUACCUUAAUUACUUGAUGAAAAACAAAUAAAUUAUUUUCUUUUAGGACACCUUAUUAAUUAAAAAUAAUAUAACAUAAAAUAUUUUAUUUUAUUAUUAAUUUUUUUUACGGGAAUUUUACUGUGUUUAUGUGUAUGGAUUUUUGAUAUCACAUUAUUAGUUAUUAAUUUUUUGAAAGAAUUAUUAGUUAACAAAAAAGAAAGGAAGUUGUAAAAGUAGUAGAAAAAAAAGUGUGCAGCAAACAAAACAAAAUACAAACGUAAAAAAAAAUACCUCAGCGUAUAACAAAAAAACACAAGACAACACGACAAAAAAAAAAGAAAAAGAAAAAGGAAACAUCGCGCAUGUGCCUUUCACGUGUUGUAUUUUAGGGAUUUAGAAACAACGUCGUUUUAAGAAAACAGGUUGUAUAUCCGACCCGGAAACAACAACUCUGCACAGCAUGAACAGCAGCAGCCGACGCGUACCAUUUCAUAUUUUUCACGAUCUUCUGCGGCGAUCCUUACCGCAUCCAUCAGAUUACGAUUCCAACCACACCCCAGCACGCCAAGGGGUGACAAGAUCAUAAAAUCGUACAAUCCUACGAGUUGGAUCACGAUUUUGACUACCUUGCAAUACACCCUUAAAUAGACAAUGGAUGGACAUUAAAAGACUGAGAAGAAUCCUUAGAGACAUGAACAAUUCACAAAAGCCAAAUACAAGACAAAGGAAGCAUAGGUGACACAACAUCAUAAAGUAUUUUGCUCCUCAAUUCUCCCAGAUCCUCUAAAGCUAAUCAAAUGAAAUUGUUUCAAAUUGAAAAGACACACCCUAAAUUAACCAUAACCACUAAAUAAGUAACUCUGCGUGAAGGUGGAUAAGGUUGGGUUUUAUGGAACGGGGUGCCUAAGUCUCCCAUCAAGUAGUAUGGGAUGCUCAGUGAUAUGAAACACGGAUACAGACACGGACACUGCCACGCCGACACCACUAAUAAUUUAACAAAAUUUCAUGAUUCAAUGUAAUAAUAUGUGUCGGUGUCAUAUCGGUGUCGGACACGGCGCAAGUCUGACACCGAGACGCAUGUCUGACACCGAGACGCGCCUAAUCCGAGGAGUAGUGUUAAAGUGGAUUGAUUCCCUCUUGAUGAUAGCUAGCUUUCAAGGGAAGGUUCACCAAGUGCUUGGAUUGGACAAAAGAUUAUUUAUGCCUACAUCUGCAACCUGAAGAUUCUUUAAAAAAAAUGACUUAAUGCUUCAAAAGCAUUCCCUCACAAAUUCUACAACUCAACCAUAAGCAAAAAGAAAGAUUUACAAUAUAAUAGUUGGUAUAAAUUAAGGUGAGACUAAAGUUUCUAUCCAUCUAGUUGUUACCUGGCUGCAAACUCUGGAGCUGAAAAAUGAAUAUAAGCUAUUCCUUUGGAUCGUUUAGUAUCCUUAUCAACAACCAAAUGAGCCUGUGAGACACUGCCAAACUGACUGAAAUGCUCUUCCAAUUCCUCCUCACUGCAACAGAAUAACAAUAAAAAUAUAAAACCAACUAGAAAUAUAUAAAAUAUUAAGGUCAAUUGAAAUUAACUUGCAGAAGACAUUCAUUCUUGUUGAAAAACAAUAACAUGAAAAGUAGGCAAAAUAAUAUGAAACAUGCAUCCAUAAGAUAAUUUGAGAAAUUACGUGGUCGAAUAUGGCAGAUUACGGACAAACAGUCGACACGGCUCAGAAACUCCUUUCUUAUCUUCUGGAUUUGAUAAUUGCCCCUCUUCCUCAGUUGCAUUCACUUGAGACUUAUCAUUGGCAACAUCCUUUCCAACGGUAUUUUUUUGGUCUUCUAGAUCUAACUCUUGAGCACCACUUCUUGGGGUUGUUUCAGAAGGGUUAUUACAACGAUUUUCUUCAUGUUCAGUAGCAUGACUAUGUUUAUCUUUGUCAUCGUCGUCAGAAGACGCCGAAUCACUGCUGUCAUCAUCACUGCUUUCAGAAUCAGACCACUCCGUUGUCACUUUACUCUUGAAAUAAUCCAUAUCAGAAAUUACUCCAUCAUGCUUAAUAUCACGCGACUUGUCGGAUUUAGGGUUAUUUGGUAACUCAUCUACAUGUGAGUCGCUUAAGAUAGGAUGGUUUGCAAUUAAUGUACUUUCGGUCUCCUUAUUCAGUGUUGGUUGGUUGUUACCAUCAUUGGAUACAACUGAAGUAUCAUUUGCCCACAGCUUAGACAUUGCCCGAGGUUGCAUGACCUGAAGAAAAUCUUGAAGCUUUGGGUCAUCAAUGUCCAUAGAAUUGUCUUCAUGUUCCUUAGCUCUAGCAUGAUUGCUAACAUCUGUGGUGAUCACUUUAUCGUCCUUUUUUGUUGAAUGUCGACUCCACGGACGAGGAAGAUUUGCAUCACCAAGUUUUUGAGCCACCUGGUUGGUAGAUAAAAACAUGGUCGAGCAUUUUUAAUGGCUCUCAGUUUCAGUAAUAUGAUAAAUAAUAUAAUAGUGUGAAAGAAGUUAAGAAAAAAUAAUGGCAUAAACAACCGACCUCACAAGUAAUUGCUUGCGUGUCAAGGUAAGAUUUAUUAAAAUAUUUAAUCGCUGCCUGAGCUUCCUGGUCUGUACGAAAUCCGAUAAAAGCAAAUUGGCGACUUUUCCCGUUUCUGAGUUAACCAGUAAACAACACAAAGUUAAAAUUCAAAACAAGUGUCCAUGAGGAUUGGAAUAAAGAUUUUAUGACUUUAGGAAAGAAACAAUACUUUGUACGCAUAAGCUUGACAUCAGUUAUUUCUCCUUUCCUAGAAAAUUCUUGUUUUAGUCGAUCCUCUGCAACAUAUUUAGGGAGAUUCUUCACGCAUAUCCUGGACCUGGAAACACAAAAUAUCAUUUUUCUAUGAUUUUCUUAAACUUCCUCAAACUACGAAUUCCAAUGCCACAUUUGAACUUACAUGGCUCCUUCUAGUAUAAUUGCACAGUUGCAGUUGAGUAUAGUAGACAAAACUGGCAGUGAAUGUGUCUGUAGCAAAUAAAAGAGUCAAUUAUUAUACAACACAGAUUCAUUACAUAGAAUUCAGAAUUUCCAUUGAUAUAAAUAUCCUUUUCUCACUAUAAUCUAACAAGUAAACGAUAAUAAGCAUUUUUAUAAUAUCAUAAGCGAGUAUUGAAUAAGCACUUAUGAAUAAUCUAUUUCUACUGAAAGAGGAUAAAAUAGUCAAAUUGUUAUUGUAUAAGUCAUAAGUUACAAGCUCAGAUAAGUCAAUUCAAAGUGCAUAAACACAAGUAGAUGAAAUAAACUUACGGUUCAAGAAGGCGGAAUUCAGGAAAGGGAGAGAGAGAGAGAGAGAGAGAGAGAGAGAGAACGGUGCAGCUAUGUUCUUCGCGUGGCUAGGUCUGUUGAAAAAGAUAACAAAAUGGGUCGAACUGAAUCGGGUACUUUUAACCCAGAUUCUCGAGGUAGAUCGAUCCAACCCAGCCCACAUGGGUGUAAUGAGGAAAUUUUACCCUAUACCCUUACCUCUAUACUUUCACCCCUGCAAUUUACCAAAAAUUCUAAUUUUAUCCUUUUUCCAAUUUUCCAACUUCAGUUCACCCCUACCUACCAUUUUUUCCGAACGAAAAGGUAAACUGGACACCAAACUUGAGCGUUUCCAAACACAAACUUAUAAGCAGUUACAUUGUUUGCCUUUUUCAAUUAACGAAAGACAGAAAAACCCAAAAGUUGUUUUCCACUUUUCAAAUUAGAAUUACAUGUUCUGUUGAUAGCAAGCAAAAAAGGGGAGCCUCUUUUUUUUCAAUCCUCCGAUCAAUUCAAUUGAAGAGUGAGUGAGUGGAUUGUAAAAACUGAAAAACAAAGCGUGAAUGAAUUUUACCAUAUUCAUAUUGAAAUCUGAAUAUUAUUCCGGCAGAUUUUGUUUUGAUUUGAAUGGAUAUUUUUAAAAGAGAAAUCAAAUGAAAAUAAGAGAAGAAAUUAAGAGUUUAUGAGAAUUGGAAUUGUAAAAUAAUUAGAUUUAAUAGAUAAUAAAUAUGAUUAUGAACAAACAGAAAAUGAGAGAUUCAAAAAGAUUGUUACAUGAAAAGUAGAAAUCGAAAAGAAAAAUGAAUGAUGAAUGUUGGAAUACCAUUGGGUUUCUAGGGAAGAAAAGGAAGAAGAUCCGUAGCAAACCGGAAAGCUUGAAAAAAUUGAGAAAAAUAUAAUUAAUCUGGAUGCUCUUAUGUUUAUAUAGGAGGGUAUAAUAGGAAGUUUGUGUAAAAUGUUGGGGUGAAAGUAUAGAUGUAGAGGUAUAUAGUAAAAUUUCCUCAUUGCACUUGCGUCAUCAUUUUGAAAAUUUUAUUUUCUAGAUUUUCGUUUUUUAUUACAAUUUUUAGAUUUUCUUUACUAUUAUAUUCAGUUUUUGAUGUUUAAAAAUUCAUAUUUUACUCAUUCUUUUUUUAAAAAUUCUAAAUUUUUUGGUAGAGUUCUUUUUAUAGUGUUUUAAUCAUGUCUGCAAACAAAAUUGAGAUUUUCAAGAUAAUGGCAAUAGCUCUAAUAUUGUUGGCAAUAGUUUCCAGCGUUAAUAUGUCUUCACCCCCUGUAAUUUGGACAAGUUCCGGUUUAUCCCCUGUAAAAAUAAAAGUUUAGAUUCCAACCCUAUCAUAUGAAGAUUCUUCACAAAACACCCCUAUAAUAUUAAGAUUCUCCACAAAACACCCCUGACCCCAUGCAGACGUUGAUGUGGCACGCCACUGUGUAAUUAUUUUAAUUUUUUUUUUAAAAACCUGACACAUGUGUAAUGGACACUGACUGUAUAAUUAUUUUUAUUUUUUUAAAUGGUACACGUGGCAUUUGUGAUUUAAAAAAAACAAAAAAAACAUAAAAAAUUAAAUAAAUUCUGGAAAAAUUAAUAAAAACGAAAAAUAUUCUGGAAAAUAAAAAAAAAUAACGAAAAAAUUAAUUAAAAUAAAAAAUAUGAUUAAACAAAUUAAAAAAUUCUGGAAAAUUUAAUAAAAUAAAAAAUAAUCUGAAAAUUUUAAUAAAAAUAAAAAAGAAUCUGGUAAAAUGAAAAAAAUUUGGAAAAAUUAAUAAAAAUUUAAAAAGUUCUAGAAAAUUUUAAAAAAUAAUAAAAAAAUCUGGAAAAAGUUAAAAAUAUGAGAAAAAAAUAUAUAUUUCAAAAAAUUUAUAUUUUUGGAAAAUUCAGGAACUUAAUAUAUUUCGAAAUUCAUAAAUAUAAUAAGAAAAUGCAUUUUCUUUUUUUAAAGAAAAAGUUCAGAUUUUUCUUUCGAAAUUAAAAAUUUUGUUUUUUUUAUUUUUUAUACAAAAAAUAAAAAUAUUGGAAAAUAUUUCAAUAAUUAAAAAAACAUAACAUUAGAUCAUGAAGAAUAGAAGUAAGGGCUUGUUAUUCAAUAGUAUAACAUGACUUAUAUACCGGUGUGACGGUGUCAAUCAAAAUCCACUGUAUCUUGUUAUUCAUCUAGAUUAUAUUUUCGAAUAAAAUAAAAUUCUAGAAAUAAAUUUUCAUAAUCAAAAUAACUAUAUAAUAUUAUAUUUUCGAUUUUUUAUAAUUUUAAUUUAAUUCAGAAUUUUUUUAUAUUUUUUGAAAAUUUUGAUAUAUAUAUAUAUAUAAAUUUUUUCCAUAAUUUUUUAUUUUUUUGAACUUUUUCCAGAUUUUUUUUUCGUGAUUUUUUUCUUUAAUUUUUUCAGAUUUUUUUUUAUUAAAUUUUCUAUUUUUUUUCAUUAUUUUUAAUAAUUUUUUCAGAUUUUUUUUUUUUAAAAUACAAAUGUCACGUUUACCCUUUAAAAAAAAAAUACAGUCAUCACGCCACAUAAUCAGAUUUGCACAGUCAGCAUGCCACGUCAGCAAUUAUGCACAGUCACAUAGGUCAGGGGCUAAAAUCAAAUAAUCUUAUUUUACAGGGUUGGAAUCUAAACUUUUUUUUUACUGGGAGGUAAACCGGAACUCGCCUAAAUUACAGGGGGUAAAUACAUAUUAACCCUGAUUUCAAAUGUUAAAAGUGAAGUUAGGCAUACUAUACCAACAAAUCAACGCCCAUUUUGUGAUCUUAGUUUGCACUGGUAAACUAUACAUGUGGAUGAUGAUGGUGGCAAUGAUGAGGGCACAAAAACCACCACCAUGGGCAUGGGCACAGUCACAGACACGAAUAUAAACAUAGACGUCGCCAUACCACAGAGGUGAUAGAACAUGCACAUACAUAAUCGAGAGAAAGAUUAGAAUGAUCUCUACACACUCACACUUAGAGAGGAAACUACAGAGGAAUGAUAAAACUCUUCUAUUAUUGAAUAUGAGAGGUAUGAGAUGUUUGCUAUACAAUCUAUAUCAACUGAAUACAAAAGCCAAGUAUUUAUAGGCUAAGUUGAGUAACUUGCACUACAAGCCACUAACAAACUAACCAACUAAUUAGUUACUUACUAACUAACUAACCAAUAAACAUAGUUGGAUUUAUCCUCUACUAACUAACAUCAGAAUAUGAAUUAUACUUCAACACACCCCCUUAAUUCAGAUUCUACUAACAUCUUAAAUUGGAACAAAACUAAAAUCACGAGGCUUUUUCUUCUCAAGCCUUGCUACAUCAUUCAUACUGCUACUAGCUUGAUUCUUCAGAAUCUACUUGUGCUUCUGAUAAUGAAUGUGAAUCAGCAUCUCUUGCUUCUAACUAUUGUAGAAAACUGAACUUUCUGCUCCAAUCCUUAUUCCUUGAACACACUUUGAUAACCUGAAUAUGCCAUCAAUUCCACGCAUAAAAUCAACACCUUCUUGUGCUAACUCGGUCACUUUUUCCUCAUAUGACUGAACAAACGCUUUCAUAGCUGAUUGUGUAAUCCACUUGAACGUCUUAAUCACACAAUCACCUUCAUCACUUGAAACAACAGCACCCAUAUCCAUUUUUUAUGCAUAAUUCGAUCUAUCUCUCUUGGUAGUGAUAGAACCCCUCUUUCUUGGAUUCUUUAGCCUCUCCGGCAUAAACCUCACAACCAAGACUGAAUUCUCAAGUGAAUAACAACGAAACAUCAUAACAUGAAUUCUUUGUUUAACAUUGCAACCUCCUUGCAAUUCUUCAUAAAACUGAACAAUACUUAAAAUUAAAUAUGAACAAGAAUAAACGUUUUAACCUUGUUCUUCUUCUUCGGUUUCUGAACCAGUUUCUUGAUUUUCAUUAUGUUUUCCCUCUAUCUCCAUGUUUCUCUCUUGAUCACUUCUUUCUUCUUCAGCUCCUUGUAGAGCUUUGUUUGAAACAGCUCCUCUUUGAGCUUUCCACGCCUUAUUUGCACUUUGGGUAGAAGAAUCUACACUUUUGGUAGAAGAAAUUAAUCCAAUCUGAAUUCACCUUAUCCAUACUUUUAUGGACCAAAACCAGAGCCUUAUUAUCUCUUUCUUCUGAAUUCACUUUAUCCACACUCAUGGAUCUUGAAAAGAGCUUUUUUUAUCUCCUUUCAUGGAUUUCUCGCAGGAAGCCUCUCUUCCUCUUUUUGAAUACCACUUUGGAUCUUUUCUAGCAAUAUCUGCAAACCAAAGAUUUCUUGUAUCCUCACUACCCACUUCUCCCAUUUCUUGACUUGAGAAAACUCCUUUUCAAAAGCCAUUAUUGACACCACAUGUAUUAAUAACCAAGUGCCAAUCUCAUAUGCAUAAACCAUUACCACAUCUGCCUUGUUGUUUAGUUGAUAGUGAAUUGCAUUCUCUUUGCGGAAUCUAUCCUUGAAACCCCAUGGAUCAUGAACCAGAGGCUCUGAUGCCACUGAUAGAACAUGCACAUACAUAAUUGAGAGAAAGAUUAGAAUGAUCUCUACACACUCACACUUAGAGAGAAAACUACAAAGGAAUGAUAAAACUCUUCUAUUAUUGAAUAUGAGAUGUGUGCUAUACAAUCUAUAUCAACUGAAUACAAAAGUUAAGUACUUAUAGGCUAAGUUGAGUAACUUGCACUACAAGCCACUAACAAACUAACUAACUAGUUAGUUACUUACUAACUAACUAACCAACAAACAUAGUUGGAUUUAUCCUCUACUAACUAACAUUAGAAUAUGAAUUAUACUUCAACAAGAGGAAGAAAAUUGUUGUCGAUAAGCUAGGAAAGUGGACAACCAAUGUGUUUGUGAACUUCUUGUUCAUUUGCCACCAUUCCUUGUUAGGCCUUUACAUCUCUACACACUCAACAUUGGUGAAGACUGCGAGAUCACUUGUCCAAUAUGAUUCACAAACUUGCAUCAAUUAUGAUGCAGGUUAUACAUUUAUUAAUUAUUAUUAUCCUAUGCGCGUGUUUGUUUGGAUUUUUUUUUCAAGGUUUUACAGGGUAAUGUUAUAGUAUGUCGCAAGAAAACAAAAGGGUUUGUAGUUAUUGUUUGUGGUUCCUAUAGUAUAUUUAGCUUGUGCUACUGUUUAGUCCCAUACACACAGCCAUUAGUAGAGGUUGUAUGCAAUGCCUCCAUAUAACUAACUUUAUUUAUUCAUGAAUUUAUGUUUGAUAUGAGUUGAAUAAUUAUGUACUGAUAUUAGCUAAUUAUUUUAAAAUAAUUCCAUAUCUUUCACGCCAUUUUCAGAAGAGGACCUCGUGAGUUGGAGGACCAAUUUGUGUGAGUAAAUUGUUUCAUUAUGCCUGGGUCCCUUUACUGAAUUCAUUAGCUUUUAAGUGUAGCGAAUAAUGCUUUUCAUAUUGUCAUGAGAAUUGAUAAAUCACCAGUAGCAAUUUUGCACCAUCAGUGUCUUGAAUCUUUUUAAACAAAAAUCUCGUUUUAGUAUAAAUAAAAUUAAUUCCUAAAACUGUUAUUUUUAACCAUACAGGAAGGCAAACUCAAUAUUCAUGACCAUAUAAUUUUACUGCAUCUUUUAAACAUGGUAAUAAAUAGUAAUAAUUACAAGAACACCAAGCAGCGGCAAAUUAAACAAUUUACUACAAUCUACAAAAUUGCCAUCCCUGAACUUUGGGAUAUAUACAGAAACCUCCAAUUUUUGAAAGAAGCACUAAUGAAACCUUUCAAACUUCAUAUUUCUUUCAUCUAACAUACUGAUGGGUGAUGGCCUUCCUUUUCUUGGAUAUCUUGGUAUCUUGAAAUCCACUAUGUUCAUUCAACUGAGCAGCAGUUCGAGCCCGCUUUUCCUCCAAAGUCUCACGGACAUUCGCGCUCUCUAUCACCUGAAAAUAAUAAGGACCGCUGUUUCUCAACUAUUUGCAAUCUAAUUUGAAAGUAUAUACACCACCCAAAACAAGUGGAAGGGUAGAGGAUUCCAUAAACAGAAUUUCCCAAAUACAUCACUGAGUUUCACUUACCAGAUGUCUUCCAUACAAGUGGGUACUUGAGAGUGCUGUAAGUGCAUUUUGUGCCUCCUGCUGAGUAACAUACUCCACAAAAGCAAAUCCUCUAUGAUUUCCAAACUUCAUUGGUAAUCUUAAACUUUUAAUCUGCACGGUUUUCAAGUCAUCAAACAUGAGUGAAAGGAAAACUAUUAAAUACUUGUAGUAUACAGCUAAAUGUUCAUAUUUUGGCUGAGAGUGAAUAUUUGCUAGCAAUUGUACUAAAAUUAUCAUUUUAAUUAUCACCUGGCCAAACGGGCUAAAUAAUUGUCUCAGAUCCUUCUUUAUUGCCUCAAAAACAACAUUUUUCACAUGCAACGUAGUUGAACUCUUAUCUUUCUCAACUUUCUUUUGUACACUUUACCAUCAUUCUUGACAUGACAGAGUAGUAAAAUAAGAGCAUGACCGUCCAAAACAGUCCCCUAUACCCAAACCAAAAAGAUUAUUAAAAAAAAGCCUUUGUAAAACAACCAUAACUAUAAUUAGGAUUUCAAUCAAAUACAUAUAGCAUGCAUCUUUUGAUUCAAAUGUGUAAUUGUAAAUACCUGUAAAUCAUUGCAAACACUUGUAGCAGUCUCUGUGGAGUCAAACUCAACAAAUCCAAAUCCCAUAGAAACAUUUUUCCCAUUUUUCAAAUGCUUCUUCUUCACCUAUUUUAGAAAGCAGCGAAACAAAAAAAAAAAAUGAAAAAUAGCCAAGUCAUCAAAAGUAAAAUGAGUCACCUAGCACUUAAAUCCAUGUACCUUGACACUCAAAAUCCGCCCCUCCUUCAUGUGUUCCCUGAUAUGUUCCCUCAAACCUUCAUCUGUUGUCUUGAAAUUUAGGUUCUUGACAAACAGGGACCGAGCCUGAAGCAUGAUAGGUUCAUCAAAUGAUAGAAGAGCAAUAAUUAAGGAUUAUUUAGCAAUGGUUAAUGUACAAAAUUUCAAAAUAAAUAUUGACUGAAUUGCAUAGUAAUCUGCGGAGGACAAAAAUAGAGUGGU